CCUACGGGUGGCAGCAGUCGAGAAUCAUUCACAAUGGGGGAAACCCUGAUGGUGCGACGCCGCGUGGGGGAAUGAAGGUCUUCGGAUUGUAAACCCCUUUCAUGUGGGAGCAAAUUAAAAAGAUAGUACCACAAGAGGAAGAGACGGCUAACUCUGUGCCAGCAGCCGCGGUAAUACAGAGGUCUCAAGCGUUGUUCGGAAUGACUGGGCGUAAAGCGUGCGUAGGCUGUUUCGUAAGUCGUGUGUGAAAGGUGCGGGCUCAACCCGCGGACUGCAACUGAUACUGGGAGACUAGAGGAUUGGAGGGGGAACCGGAAUUCUCGGUGUAGCAGUGAAAUGCGUAGAUAUCGAGAGGAACACUCGUGGCGAAGGCGGGUUCCUGGACAUUAACUGACGCUGAGGCACGAAGGCCAGGGGAGCGAAAGGGAUUAGAUACCCCUGUAGUC
This 446-nucleotide ribosomal RNA is filed under the name uncultured bacterium. Its description in RNAcentral is "partial 16S ribosomal RNA". It matches the Rfam family "Bacterial small subunit ribosomal RNA", at positions 338 to 795 of the family's 1533-position model. The record is from RNAcentral.